Molecule: long non-coding RNA, 10994 nt
Filed under: Vitis vinifera (wine grape)
Lineage: Eukaryota; Viridiplantae; Streptophyta; Magnoliopsida; Vitales; Vitaceae
Description: long non-coding RNA (VVIN_LNC007096)
Source: RNAcentral
UCCCAUAUUAAUGUGCUACUGAUGUGCCAAACCAAAAAAAAAAAAAAAAAAAAAACAAAUAUCAAAUAGGAAUAGAAUGAGAAAGGAGAAAACAACUCUAAUCUUCACAACUCUCAUUGGCUUUAUUUCUCUGUAUUUUCUCUUUUGUUGGGGUUGCCUCCCAUCUGUUUCAUGAUGGUUGUAGUGUUGAAUUACUUCUCUUGUUUCUCCCUUUGUUCCUCUCUCAUUUCUCCCCCUCUUCUCUUUGGUUUUUCCAAUGUCUUUUUCUUGUUUUCCUCUCUGCCUCCGACUCUGUCUCUCCUCUCUUUCUCUUUCUCUUUCUCUCUCUCUUUCUCUUGCGUUUCCUUUGUUUUUCCGUCUUUUUUUCAUUGAUUUGUGUGGAGAGGGAAAUUCACCACCACCUGCCCUUUGAUGGCCUUCAAAUAAGUCAUUUGCUCUACCUUGCUAUUUCCUAUGGUUAAAUUUCCAUUCUAUAUUUUUUCUUUCCUUUUUUCUAUAAUAACAUUUGUUGGAAUUGGAAUUUUUUCCCACCCAUAUAAAUCAUUAUAAACUUUUAUAAGGAUGUUAUAUGAAAAUAGAAAUAUAUGACACUUACUUUUUAAUUAUUUUUUUCUUAUUUUAUAGUAUUGUUUUUCCUUUUAUAAUUACAAAAUAGAUGCCAAUUAUAUAAUUUAAUUAUUAUUUUUCCCAAAUAGAAAAAAUUACCUAAUUCAACUGUUAUUUUUUUUUCAGGUAGCAAAAAAUUUAUGCAAUCCAAUUAUUAUUAUUUUCCAGUUCUUUUAUGGAAUUAUUAAUAUGAUUCUUUGUGAUGUAAAUGAAUUUAUCCUUUAUUUAUUAUACAUAUAGUUUAAAUUAUUUUAAAUAUUUAUCACCUAUGAAAAUUGGAGUCUUAAAAGGCUUAUGCCUCGCCUUGUGGGCACCAAAACACUUUGCCUUGCGCAUUUGCGUUUGAAAACUUCGAUAAUAACCACUAAGAAAACUGGUGUCUGGUUGAUUGUAAAUAAAGUGACAUUUAAGGUCUACAUAAUUAGAGCCUGGGAUAGCUCCUUAGUGAAGAUACUUUUUUAGCUUCAAAGUUCAACAUCAUGGGUAUUGCCUUCUGACUCGAAGGUAAAAACAAUGUUUGUUGACUUGAAACUUUAAAAGGCUUAUACCCUAAUGCCUCAAGGCUUAUGCCUCGCCUUGUGGGCACCAAAACACUUUGCCUUGCGCAUUUGCGUUUGAAAACUUCGAUAAUAACCACUAAGAAAACUGGUGUCUGGUUGAUUGUAAAUAAAGUGACAUUUAAGGUCUACAUAAUUAGAGCCUGGGAUAGCUCCUUAGUGAAGAUACUUUUUUAGCUUCAAAGUUCAACAUCAUGGGUAUUGCCUUCUGACUCGAAGGUAAAAACAAUGUUUGUUGACCUAAAACUUUAAAAUGUUGAAACCAAAGCCUCAAGGCUUAUGCCUCACCUUGUGGGCACCAAAAACACUUUUGCCUUGCGCAUUUGCGUUUGAAACUUUCGAUAAUUAACCACUAAGAAAACUGGUGUCUGGGUCGAUUGUAAAUAAAGUGACAUUUAAGUCUACAUAUUAGAGCCUGGAAUACUCCUUAGUGAAGAUACUUUUUUAGCUUCAAAGUUCANNNNNNNNNNNNNNNNNNNNNNNNNNNNNNNNNNNNNNNNNNNNNNNNNNNNNNNNNNNNNNNNNNNNNNNNNNNNNNNNNNNNNNNNNNNNNNNNNNNNCCCCCCCCCCCCCCCCCCCCCCCCCCCCCCCCCCCCCCCUUUUUUUUUUCUUUUGAUAGGUUAAAAUGUUGAAACCCUUGUUCUUUUGGUUACUGCCAAUGAUAUAUCUGAAUGAUGAUGUGUUAGGAUAUGAAUAAAUAUUCGGUUUAACUCCUAGAUAUCUUGAACCCCUAUAAUCAAAAUUUUAGUUGAGUUAAAAUAAAAAAGCCAUAAGCCUGGCUGGAAAUGGUUAGGGCAAUCUUUUUGCCAAUGGUAUAUCUGAAUGAUGAUGUGUCAGGUUAUGAAUAAAUAUUCUGUCUAAUUCCUAGAUAUCUUCAAGGGCAGUUUUUUCCUCUUUUCUCUUCAUGCAUACUGGCUUUGUUAUUUUAGUUUCUCUAAGUAUGUUUUUUUUGUCAGUCCAGUCUAGAUAUAGUAAAUAUAGAAUGGUGAAUAAGCUUCAGUGGAACACAAGGCUACUUCAAAAAAAAUAAUACUGGACAUGUAUGGUUCAAGAAACAUAUCUAUUGUUUGUGUUCUAUUAUCAAUUUGAAUGAUUUGGCUGGCUAUACUUUUUUAUUUUUUUCAAGUUCCAUGAUGAAGUUAUACAAGAUUGAAUCAUUAUAAGGUCCAUAUGAUUUACAUGGAUAUGUCAGUAUAGAUUACAUGUAUAGCAUUUUUUUAUCGGUACCUGAGAAUUCAUUGUAAUCUAAUUUCAGCUUUUCUUGUUUCACUUACGUCUUCUAUAUUUUAAGGUUUUUUUGUGUGAGGAACUGAAUCCACCGGUGUCCAGGAAAAGCAUUUUCUUGCGCAUCAAUAUAAUUAAUAUACUUGAGAAAAUCUUUUUAAAAUUUUUGUUUCAUCAUCUUGUCUGAAAUAGGUUGCACAGCUUAGAAUAACACCUCGAGUUCUAGUUGGUCACAGCUUUGGAGGAAAAGGUAAGUUAUAACUAGUCUAACUUAUUCCAAUUCAUGGAUGAUACAUGAUGAUUAAAUUAUAGAUUUUUUUGCUAACUGCUUAAUCCACUCCCUAAAUUUUCAUGCAGUUGUCUUGAGCAUGGUGGAACAAGCUGCAAAACCUCUUGCACGACCAGUCAGAGUAAGUUUGAAGUCUGCUAGAAAUUGUUAAGGUGGUUUUGAAUUUUGGUAGGGUGAAAAAUUGUGUCCCCCCACCCCACCAAAAAAGGAGAAAACUUUGGUUAUGUAGACAUUGAAUAAUGUAAAGAUUAUGCCAGUUUAAGAAACACUGAACUAAAUUAUCAAGUGAAGUUAUGUUAACUUUGAGUUCAAGGUGAAAUCUGGUAAUUCCAGAACUGGUAAUCUUCAUGAAAUUUGAAUUGUGGUUCAAGCAAUUAUGAUCUAUUAUUCUUUUUUUUUUUUUUUAAUUUUAUAAUCUAUUUUUAUUAGGUUUGGGUUCUAGAUGCAACUCCUGGGAAAGUUCGUCCUGGUGGAGAUGGAGAGGAUCAUCCAGAGGAACUAAUAUCUUUCCUUAGUAAAAUGCCCAAUGAGGUGAAUUUCUGGUCCAUUGUUGUUUUCCUAUUUUUAAUAUAAUGAGUUCCAUUGGAGACAUAAACAUCUAAUUGGCAUCUUCGUACGGUGUAUUUCUUUUCUUUAUGUUGAAUUAAAAAAUUUGUAAUUUCCAGAUCAGUCAACCAAGUUGUGGAGCAACUACCUCAACAACUGAGGCUUUUUUUGGGGACCUCUUGCCUCCCGUAGUUACUUUUCUUGUUGAUCUUGUAGUUAUUGCUGUGCUACCAUGUUUCCUUAUUUGUUGGUUGUACUCCUGCAUUUUCUUUUUCUGAAAUAUUCGUUCCAAAGGGCCAAAAUAUUUUCUACUUUGAAAAAGAACCUCCAUGUUUUGAAAAUUGUAAAUGUAACCUCAAAUGUACGAAAAUGCCCCUUACCUUCCUUUGUAAAAAAUGCAUUGAUGUGAAAUGGGUAUAAAAAGUUUGAUGAAGGGUUUUUUGGUCCAAAAGGGUUAUUUUUUUGUGUUUUGGAAAAGUGGAGGGCAUUUUUGUGAAAUAGGGUCAUAUUUUGACCCUUUUAAUCAAAUAUCCACUUCUUUUCUUUUUUCUAUUCUCUUGCAGUCUUCUAGUAGUCUCUGGUAUUCAAGGAUAAGUCAUCCUUCCUUGGAAUUUUUACCGAUAAAUAGUUAGUUUUUGACAAAUGGAAGAACUAUUCUUAGGUGUUAUGUGUCUUAACGGGUUUUCACUAUUUUGGUCUUUUUUAUUUUUAAUUUUUUUAUUUUAGCAGUUUAGUAUCUUACAUCAUUAAGUUUAUGUUUGGUUCUUGAUAACUACUAAGAAAAGGAGGGAACAAAAAAACCAGGGAAAAUAAUUUUCUCAUGUUUAGUUUACCGUGGAAAAUGUAGAAGAAAAUCAAAUAUAAUUAAAAUUAGUUAGAAACUUCUAUAUUUUCAAAUUAUUUAAUCUUUAUAUAGACAAGAAAAAAUAAGUGAAAUGAGCUUGGAGAAGUGUGUAAAAAUAAUUUAUUAACUCUACAUAUGUUUUUCAUUUUUCUUCACUUUUUCUUUUAGUCUAUUUUUCCUUUCUUUUUUCUUUCUCUCACAUUGUCUUCAAAUUUUCCAAGAACCAAACAUGGGGUAAUGAUUCCUUAUUCUCUCUUCCAAACAAAAAUGCUACUCCCAUCCAGUUUUUUUUUUCUUUGAUAGGAAAAAAGCAUAAAUAUAUUAGACAUGCCUAAGAAAAGGCGCAUCAAUGGACACAUGGUGUAUACAUAUGACUCCCACGAAAGGCGUGCUGAAAAAGGAGGGAAAAUACAAUAGACAACCAUUAAGCUUAGCCAAUCAACAAAGUUAGUCAUUGAGCUACUCCAAUCUUAUGUCAUGUUUUGUUGCCUAUCUUGUGAAGGAGAACGUAUUUAAUAGAAGUUGCAAUCUUAAAAUAAAUGAAUAACUAAAUGACAUGUGGCUUUACAAUCAUAGGUCUUGCGGUUAGUUAGGAAAAACUUAGAGCUUGUUUAGAAAUGAUUAAUAUAAAAACGCUUUUGUCAGUAACGCUUUUAUCAAAAGCACUUUAAUGAAAAAUAAUUAGUGUUUGGAUAUAAACAACAGAAAUAUGCUUUUGGUCAUGUUUUUGGGAAUUAUCAAGGGAUACUUUUGGUAGAUGUUUUAUUUGAAAUUCAAUUGCCUCUUUUUUUUUUUUUUUUUCUUUUUUUGAGAAAAGCACAUGUCAAAUGCAAGUGCAAGAAACAAUUCAACUGAUUUUCUAUACUUUGAAGUGUUCUUUAAAUUUUUUCCAAAUGCCUCAUUUUUAUAAGGAAAGCCCUCUUUGAAUCACUCCUAAAUGGACUCUAGGUGUCCAAUCCAUGAGUGGACCAAGUUAGUUCAAUUCUCUACCUAUUGGAAAUAGGACCAGACGAACAUUGGUGGAGAACCAACUCAAACCGAAGAAUUGAGUCUCAGUUGAAUUGGUUUGAAGGUUGAUGCAUCCUGACUUGCACCUUUAAUAUGCUUAGCCCAGUAGUUUGUAUGUGCAAAACAUUAACCUUGGGCUGAGUUGCCAGUAUAUAAUUUCAUGUACAUAAGUUUUUUCAGUGAAUAUCAGUUGCAUUUGUCUUCUGAAACAUUGAUGUAGUUGAAAUUUUAAUCCUGGAGUUCAAAAAGAUAUGCAUUUGUGCCCUUCAUUAUCAGAGUUUCAUUAUUAUUUUGGAGUAUGACUGGAAAAUCUUAACUCUGGUGGAGAAUCAUUUGUUACCAAUUAUCAUUCCUCAAAUGUGGGCAGUUUGAUUUCCAAAUAAAUACAAUUGUUGCAUUAGUAAACCUUUGGUCUUUCUGUUGUAUUAUUUUUAGUUUAUUAUUACUAAUCAUCAUGUUUGUCAGAAAAACAAAAAAAUUGUUACUAAUUGUCAUGUUCACUCUACUUAUGUAUGAUUAUUCCAGUAAUCAGCUUUUAUAAUUUUUCAUGUCAUUUGUUCCUUGUUGCAGUGAACCAAUUUUAAGCUUUAUAAUAUUUAAUUUAUCUUGUAAAAUAUUUUCCUUUUUGGGCAUGAUUAUGAGCAUCUUAUAAUCUCUUCUUUAUGGAAGGUGUUUUCAAAGCGGGAUGUUAUGAAUGCUCUUAUUAAAGAAGGAUUUUCCAAAGAUGUGGCACAGGUAAUAUCAAACAUACAAGCUAAUUUGGUUUUACUUAGAUCUCAAUGGUUUACUUUCAAGUUGGGAUGGUGAAACUCAUGAUGAAUAGAAUGUUAUAGAUUUUCUCCAUCUUUUCCUAUUUUCUUUUCUGGUCUUAGCUUAGUUUUUUUGUUGUUAAAUUUCAUAUCGUUGGUGAUUUCCAAAACCUUGGUAAAUUUUUGGUCAUGUUGCUUUUGUCCUAGGAUACAUUUAUUCUAGACUACAACACUGCCAGUUUGAAUGUGCAACAUUUCUGUUGACCAACUUGACAAAUGCUAUUUGGUUAAUGGUUUGGUAAGUCUUAUUAUUGUGGAUGAGAUGAAAAAAAGAUUAUGAGUGCUGCUUAAGCAAUUAGUUUGUUGCAUCAAGAUAUUUUUAAAACAUUAAAGCUUGUAGUAGGGAAUUAUUGUCGCUUUUUUGUUCGAUCUUUGAAUUAUUUUUUCCUUUUUUAUUUUGAAUUUCUUAUACAUCCCCCAAAAUUUUAUGUUCUUCUCAUUUUUGUUCUCACGUCCAGUGGGUGGUAACAAACCUCCAACAGACCAGUUCCCCUGGUUCAUCAUCGCCAAGCUUCUCAUGGGUGUUUGACCUCAAGGGAAUUGCUGAGAUGUAUCAAUCCUAUGAAGAAACAAAUUUAUGGUAUUCAUGUUCAGAACUUGUUUUUCAUCUUGAAUUGAUGUCAAAUCUCAUAUUAUUCUUCUAAAUACGGCUUAUUUCUGAAGAUCUUCUAAUUUGAUAAAUUAAUAGCAAUACCACUGACUUGUUAGUAGACUCUGACAUGGGUUGAGGUAGCAAUACCACUAUCUUUGCAAGGGUUGAGGUAGGAGUUCAACUGGGGGUUGGAGUUGGUGGAGUUCUUUAUGGAUGAGGCUUGUUGAUGUGGAGAUUAGGUGAAAUGGAAGGGUUUAAAAGAGGAGAGGUUUUCCUUAGAACUUCUUUUGAUUUGAUAUCGGUAGGAGUAGUUGUCAACUGCCCUGCUUUAGAGACUUGGAAAACUGCCAACACUCUGAAAGUGGCCUAUCUUUUAUCUUGAUGGGAGGAUAGGAGAGGAUUUUGACACCAAAUCAUUUGGUGUGCAGAUGGAGGUACUUGGCAAAUUGGUGUUGCAUGUGCAGACAUGGAGUCAGUUAACCAUCUUUUGAGCCCUUGUCCUGAUGCUUGGGCUUUUGGGACUGGUUUUCAUGCUUUUUUGUAGUUUCUUGGGUGCUUCCAAGAACAAUAGGAGAGCUACUUGUGAAUUUGUUUGGAGAUAUAGGAGGCAAGAGUGGAGUAGUGUUCCCUUCAAGUUAUAGGGGAAUGAAACUCCUGACAGCAGACUAUAAGAUUGUUUUAAGAUCUUUGCAUGCUUUGGACAGAGGGUGAUCUUUUGAUCUGGACAUGCUCUUUUAUGAGCUCAUAAAUAGUUUAGGUUAUACACAGGUUAAGAAGCUAUUGGCUUUUGUUUGCUUUGUUUUCUGUCCUUUUUUUUUUUUUUUUUUUUUUGCCUUAUUUUCUUCUCACUUCCUGUGGGCUGUCCAUAUAAACUGCCUGUGCCCUUCGGUUGCACUGCCCUCAAUGCUUUUCUAUUACAUUUAUUUUCCUAUUAAUGGAAACUAUGUUGACAUCUUGCAAUUCUUGGAGGUUAACCUAAAUACAAUCUUGCCUUUUAAACCCUUGCUUCAAGCGCUAUCCAAGCUUUAGGUCCCUAACCCAAUCUCGACUCAAGCUCAUCUUUUCUGAGCUCCGGGUCAGGCAGGUCCUAGUUAUUAGGUUUUGAUUAGGUUAAAUGACAGAGGGAGAGAAAAAAAAAAAAGAAGAGAAAGACAAGCAAUGAAGACAGACAACCAAGAACACAAUUAUUGAUAUGGAUGCAAAAAGGCUUGCAAGUAGGAUUAACAACAUUCCCCUUGCAUAGUUGAUUCGGAGGCAGUAGGGGUUUAGCUUUCAGGCCAUGGUACCGUUGUAGUUGUCUGGAUAACAAAGAUGAGGGUUCUGGGACUUCAUGCCAGGUGUGGGUCAUGAUGAUGUGGUCUAGGUUUGGUGUUUGGGUAGGUGAGGUGAAGAAGAGUUUUUCAAAGGUUGAUGGUGAUGGAAGUGAUCCAGAGUGUGCUGUAAUUGGCAGGUCAUUAUAGUGAUAUUACCGUGGAAGAAGUAUAGCAAUUAUAGAGGAAAAACUCCAACCCUAGACAGACAUUGACUUCAGGCUGAGGUUUCUGGGUUUCUUUGGUGCUUUAACCUGUAAAUUUGGCACAUGGACCCUAAUGCUAGCCCUAGAUUGAUUCAUACAAAACUGGCUGCAAUCUGUUCAAUUACUAUUACUUUUGUUUGAUAGUAAUAAUAACUAAUUGAUAAGAUAGAUUAGGUUUAGAAAAGCCUUUUGCCCUGGCCCAACCUGGACUGAGGUUGCGUUGAUGUUUCUUUAGAAAAGUUGCAUUUGUAUGAUAGUGGGAUUUACCAUAUUCGAGUAUAGAGAGCCGAAAAAGGGCACUUCCCAUGGACAUGUUCCUCUCAAAUCCUUUUCUUGGACCUGUUCUUCCCGAAUCCCACCUUGGGUUUAUCAUCUCUUUUCCUUAUCCUUCUAUUGUCAUCGACCGAAGCUAAAUGGGUGUUAGGAUUUACCAAACCGGUGCACUGAAAAACUGAGCUGAUGACUGGCAACUAACUCUUAAAGCAAGGAGUCAGGAUGGUGAUGGGAAGUUCUGGGAUUGAUUACAUGUACUAACCAGAGAAAAAAAAUAGUUCCAUAUUAAAAAACUAUAAAAAAUAUAAGAAAUAGAGAAAUACUUGGCUUGUGACAAGAGUGCUUUUACCCAUUUGCCAUAUUGACCCUGUUUUGACCAUAUUACCUCUUAAUACUUUUUAAAAUUCAUGCAGGAAUAUUGUGGAAGAUGUACCACGGGGUGUGCAUGUGAAUUUUUUGAAAGCAGAAAGGAGCUUGCACAGGUGGGCCCUUGAGGAUCUUCAGAGGAUUCAUGCUGCUGAGGAUCUGGCUGCUGAUGAAGGUGGUGGAGUGGAAAUGCAUGUUCUUGAAGAUGCUGGUCAUUGGGUAUGUGGCUCUCACCUGCUUCAAUUCUUACAAUUAUCUUCUGAACCACCUAGUAUACACUUUACAGGUGUGCUUAUGCUUGCAUUUCUUUUAACAAAAAAGGGGAAAGACCUCCCUCAGUCAGCUGGUCUAAAACAAAUUGUUCACCAUAAAACACAAAUCAAAUGGCUUGAUGGUCCAGCUCAACUGGAUUAGUGGUGAUAAAAAAUGGUCUAAAAUGAAAUUUAUGAAUAAAAUGGACUGUUUGUUGCUUAAAAUCAUGAAAUAUGUCUUCUGAAAAAUCUAUAGUUUUAGCAAGGUUGAGGUUUCUUUUCCUAUAGUUGUUUUGAUUGCUAUUAUUUGGAAACUAAAUGAAGAAACUUAUAUGACUUCCUUUGCCAACCCCAGCCCCUUGUGAUUCCCAAGUCAGUUACCUUUUAACCCAAUACUACUACCAUAAGUUCAGUCUUUUUUGUCAAAAGACUCUUAGCCUUUGCUUAGCAAACAGUUUCAUCCGAAAAUGUAUCAAAUGGAAAUAGCGUCCCAUGCUUCUGGUGUUGGCUUAGGUAGGAUUGUAUUAGAAUCAUCUAAAGACAACUUUAAUGGCUGUUCAAUCCUGGAAUCACUAAUUUCUUUAUAAUCCUUGGCAGGUGCACGCUGAUAACCCAGAUGGCCUCUUCAGGAUUCUCUCCUCUUCCUUCCAAGGAAUCAAAACCUAACGAACUCCCGAAUUUUCACUCCGGUUCAGUGUCAGCAUUCCUCAAGUUUUAACCAAUCGUUGUUUACCGUCUUCAUACAUUUAGCUUUUCUUUUCAAAAUUUCUGCAUUUGUUUGUAUCAUAAUAGUUGUGCAUAUUCUUUUCUUCCCAUGUCUGUUCACCACAAGUCAUCAUUGGUUUGUCCCAAUACUAAAGUGACCACUUCUUGAAUCAAUCAGUUUUGUAAUGCAUAGCAAAGGUUUUAUAUACCAUUAGGAUCACCAUCAUGGAAGUCCUGAAUAAACGCGUUCGCUGGCUGCCAAAAAUGGAUUCUGGGAAAAUUCUUUGAAAUUGCAGUAGCUGGAAGGAAACAGGAAGGAGGGAAAAAAAGGGGAAAGAAAAAGAAAAACUGGUUAUCGGCUCAAAGGAGAUGAGACAAGGAGACUUCCUAUACGUAUCUUUGGUUUCUAGUGCUUCAUUUGUACUGCUGGAGUAUGUCUCAUUUGAAUCAUGUCAACAUAUAGUGAAUCAUGUCAACAUAUGGUUUUUACCCAAUAUUUAUGUCUCAUUUGAACGAGUGCCUGGUGUUUUUUUUUUUUUUUUUUCAUUUUUCUAAGAAUAUUAAACUUGAUAUUAUAUCAUAAGGAAAAGAGAACAUCUUGAUGAUACCCUUAUUUAUGGAUGUAAAAAUGAAAUGCCCUCAAAAAACCACUCUUCAUAUCUACUUUAUGCCCCCCAAGAUUUAUAGCAAAACUGACCCACAAGUUACAACAUUAGCAACCCUUGACUGGUGCUUCUGCACUAGGGUUUGGUUUCCCUGUAUAAUCUCAUCAUCGGCCUUUCUUAUAUGGUAUACAUGCAUUGCAUGUGCUCCUUCUAUUUAUGUUGAUAUAAUGAUAUUAUCAGCCUGAAAGAAGUGUAAAAAAAAACUGAGGAAAGACCACCUCAUUUAACCACCACAGCAGCAGUGAUGCCGGACAGCGAAAACUUGUUCCAGGGUUGAUCCUUGGAGGGCUGUUUUCUGUCGUUGUAACCGGACCAUUUCAUCUGCAUGAAGCUGCGCUUCCGCCAUGGCCCCAUGUGGAUCUUCUGCUCCUUCAUGGACCUCUUGGCGGCAUCGCAUACCACACGCAGGAUGGCGUUGAGGUAGUCGGAUUUUCCGAUGUAGGAUUUGGGGAGUUGGGCGAUGAGUCUGCGGUACUCAUCGCAGGCUUUGGCCAUCUCGAAUUCAGUUCGGAAUUCGAGCUCUAUAAGGAAUGGGAUUUGCUUCUUCCUCCCAGGGGUGCUUGCCAUUACCUCUAUAUAUUCAUGUGAUCCUGGAAAUGUAAGAAGGGGAUCAGCUACCACAUAGUAAUGGCAAACAGAAGAUUCCCGUAAUCCAAAUUAGAAUAAAAUAAGAAAAAUCAACAUAAUUACCUCCGGGGAACUUGUGAGUGUGCCUCCACUUGGAAGUACGGAGAGAGGCAGAG